This 1514-nucleotide ribosomal RNA is filed under the name Lactiplantibacillus plantarum. Its description in RNAcentral is "bacterial SSU rRNA". It matches the Rfam family "Bacterial small subunit ribosomal RNA". Lineage: Bacteria; Bacillati; Bacillota; Bacilli; Lactobacillales; Lactobacillaceae. The record is from RNAcentral.
GGGAGCGUAACUGCAGUCGUCGCCUCUGGUAUUGAUUGGUGCUUGCAUCAUGAUUUACAUUUGAGUGAGUGGCGAACUGGUGAGUAACACGUGGGAAACCUGCCCAGAAGCGGGGGAUAACACCUGGAAACAGAUGCUAAUACCGCAUAACAACUUGGACCGCAUGGUCCGAGCUUGAAAGAUGGCUUCGGCUAUCACUUUUGGAUGGUCCCGCGGCGUAUUAGCUAGAUGGUGGGGUAACGGCUCACCAUGGCAAUGAUACGUAGCCGACCUGAGAGGGUAAUCGGCCACAUUGGGACUGAGACACGGCCCAAACUCCUACGGGAGGCAGCAGUAGGGAAUCUUCCACAAUGGACGAAAGUCUGAUGGAGCAACGCCGCGUGAGUGAAGAAGGGUUUCGGCUCGUAAAACUCUGUUGUUAAAGAAGAACAUAUCUGAGAGUAACGGUUCAGGUAUUUGACCGGUAUUUAACCAGAAAGCCACCAGGCCAACUGAUCGUGCCUAGCUAGCCGCGAGCUAAUAACGUUAGAUCGCAAAGCGUCGUCCCGAUUUAUUGGGCGUAAAGCGAAUGCGCCAGGACGGUUUUUCUAAGUCUGAUGUGAAAGCCUGCGGCUCAAACUGAAGAAGUGCAUCCGCAAACCUGGGAAAGCUUGAGUGCCAGAAGAGGACAGUGGAACUCCAUGUGUAGCGGUGAAAUGCGGUAGAUAUAUGAGAAGAACAUCCAGUGGCGAAGGCUGGCUGCUCUAGGUCUGUAACUGACGACUGAGGCUCGAAAGUAUGCGGAUAGCAAACAGGACUAGAUUACCCCUGGCUAGUCCACACCUGUCAAACGAUGAAUCGCCUAAGUCGUCGGUAGGGCAUUCCAGCCCUUUCCAGGUGCUGCAGACUAACGUCAUUAAGCAUGUACCGCAUGGGGUAGUACAGUCAGCAAGGCAUAGAAACUCAAAGGACAUCGACGGGGCGCCCCGCACAAUGCGGAGGAGGCAUGUGGGCAUCUUAAUUCGAAGCUACGCGAAGAACCUUACCAGGUCUUGACAUACUAUGCAAAUCUAAGAGAUUAGACGUUCCCUUCGGGGACAUGGAUACAGGUGGUGCAUGGUUGUCGUCAGCUCGUGUCGUGAGAUGUUGGGUUAAGUCCCGCAACGAGCGCAACCCUUAUUAUCAGUUGCCAGCAUUAAGUUGGGCACUCUGGUGAGACUGCCGGUGACAAACCGGAGGAAGGUGGGGAUGACGUCAAAUCAUCAUGCCCCUUAUGACCUGGGCUACACACGUGCUACAAUGGAUGGUACAACGAGUUGCGAACUCGCGAGAGUAAGCUAAUCUCUUAAAGCCAUUCUCAGUUCGGAUUGUAGGCUGCAACUCGCCUACAUGAAGUCGGAAUCGCUAGUAAUCGCGGAUCAGCAUGCCGCGGUGAAUACGUUCCCGGGCCUUGUACACACCGCCUAGUCACACCAUGAGAGUUUGUAACACCCAAAGUCGGUGGGGUAUCUUUUGGGACCAUUCGUCUAUAGGCA